This 6230-nucleotide long non-coding RNA is filed under the name Triticum aestivum (bread wheat). RNAcentral's name for it is "long non-coding RNA (TAES_LNC023322)". The record is from RNAcentral. Lineage: Eukaryota; Viridiplantae; Streptophyta; Magnoliopsida; Poales; Poaceae.
GCUACUAUACACAUUCACAAGACAUUAGGCCUUUCAUGUAAUAUUUUUCUAGGCAAGAAAACAUUGCUAUAUGACGUAACUCGUAGUAGUAGGUAAAUUCACAAACUGUGUAUGUUGUAUCAAUGACUCUGUUGUAAUCAAACUUUGAAGCUACAAUCAGAUAAAGGAAUAAUAUGAACUUCAGUUAACUGAUGUAAAAUAACAAAAAGAGGCAUGUCUAAAGAACACAAUGGAAGAAUAGAAAAAUGCAUGUAGAAGAUUACACAUGAUCUAAUCAUAUACCUUGCCACCCAAAAUUUUGCCUUUGUCGUAUCAAUGAGUUUGCUAUAAAUGAGGAAGUAGUAAUUUUUGCACGUACUCUAGGUGUUUUGUCAUCGGUUGAACGACAAGCUUCUUCAUUUUUGGAAACUACACGAACAAGACAAAACAUUUGUUCACAGUAAGUUAGUAACCCUAAAGGAUCUACUUACUCGGACAAAUUCAUAAGAACAAACUGCAUAUACAGUAAAACACAACGAGCUCUGAAUCAAAGUAUAACUAUUUGAAAAUCUUUGGAGAAGAUCAAACAAUACAUCAUUGCAUCACUACUCGGGGUCACUAACGGAGGCGCCAAUUCCUUCGAGCUGGGGAAAGGGGAAUUGAAGGUGCUCGGCAGAACUGGAAGGGGGAGAAAUGAAAACCUCAAACACUACCAUUUGAAGAGCAGAGGAUAUAUAUUUAGGCACUCACAGAAAUAAUCACCGGAGGUCCUGUACAGAUACAAGUAGGUGGUGGCAUCGCCGUCUUAGCUCGGUUGUCCAAGCAACACAGAAUGUCCUGAUCACCACACAGUUGAAAUUGAAAGUGUUUGCAACUCUGCAAAUUAUAUACAUAUCCAACGAUUCAGUUGGGAGUUUAUUCUGCACCAUUUGUGAAAACACACACUCACAAGCAAUUCGUUGAGUAGACACCGUGAAAUAAAAUUAUAUUGUGAAAAAUACUAUUUAUCAAACAGGUGAAACAAACUAAUCAGGUGCAUCUCCGUAAGCAAAGAAAAAGGCAGACCAAAAUCUAUAGGAUAUGAGACAUAUAUAUCUCUUUGUUUAUAUAUAGACACACACACACACACACGUCAUAAUACCUUGACUUUCUUCCAGAGACUAAACAUUGGUUUGUGGACUAAAAACUCAGAGAAAAAAUUACCAGAAUGGGUAAAUGAGUAAUGGAGCAAACAUGCACAUUACUGAGAGAGAACACAUGUCCAGUGCAUACAGUUAUAAACAACCAUACUUAUAUAAUUUCCAUGUGGGAGAAGUAUAUUAGGUUAUGAAAGCAAGCGCCGUCGUUCGUGAUUUUAACGCACACGACUGAUGUCAUGUCACUAUGGUGCCAACCGGCUUGCCCAUGACACAGCUAGAUUCUGUCACCUCAAUCUUUGUAAUCUCAUCAUCUUAGGACAUGCCACAUUUUGCAAUGUUGUGAGUAGAUGACAGAUAAGAUGUAGCAGUGUAUAAUGGAAUUAGGGGUGGAUCAGCAACCUGACAUGCGCGGGGGAGGUACUCUGCCCGCCACUUCCCAUCCCUAGAGGGGGCGUGCAGGGUCGGCUACCAUCACCUUGACGCUCGGCCCACGAGACUACCAUAGAUGUAUUCUCACCUGCGUCGAUGCCACGUGCAUGACGCCACGACCGCGGCUGCCACAGCCUGGCCUCUCCUACAAGUAAAAAAGUAAAUCACACCAAAAUCAACACAAAAGGCACACCAAAUCAAGUUGAGAAGUGAGAGUGCAAGGGAUUCAUCGUACCUGCUCCGAGUAGGUCGAGACGCAAUAGUAAAUCCCACCGGCUGCCUUCAUGUCCGUUCAUGAUUGGAACAGGCAUGUUUCAGCCAGCUCGAGGUGCACUUACCAAGGUUGCAAAUUACAUGAUUUACGUAUAUAUAUUGUGAGAAGAAAACCCAAAAAAACGAUUGCAUGUAUUUUUAGCGAAGUGUGCUUCUGAACCACAGCUUGGAAUUGUGUAAUCACGACAUGACAUCAUGAUUCCCCAAAACAAUUCAGACCAUAGUUAGCACAGUAUGGACACCUAAAUCUUGAACAUUCUAAAAUAAUUACAAUAUCCUCAUUUUUCUCUAUUUAUACCAGAAAUUAAGAAGAACCGCAAGCAAUCAUCAGGAAAUACCAAAUCUAGGGGUUACAGAAAGUCAAAGUGUUCCCAUCAAACUGUGGAGAACACUAAUGUUCUAUCUUGUUUUUAAUCAAAACUAAUGUUCUACCCGGGAAGAAAAAUGACAGAUGCAACUCACGCAGAUGACCAGGCCUAGGUAAUUUAUAGCAGAUGUCCACCCGUGAGUCCUUUUUCUGCGGAUUAAAAGAAACACUUGCAAGUUGUUAAACCAAAAACAGUGAAUAUAGCAUGCAAGUAAUAAUCAGAAUAUUAUUCAGCUUCCAUUUCCAUGAAUCAAUCAGAGAUAAAGUUGAUCUUUAUUUGACAUUCAAUCAAACAGUCCCAAUCAAAUUUAAUUUGGGGCAGGGUAGAAAGAUGCAAGUCAUAAUAGGGAGAAAAGCUAUCAAGAAUGCCAUGCUGCUUGUUGCGACAAAUUUACCAUGUUACACCUUUUCGUGGAAGGGUCAAAAGAUCUGGAUGCGCUUAUCUGAAAUUCUUAAAUGAUCAGUUCAAACAAAUUAUAGAGCCAAAGCAAUUCAAAAUUUAGCAUUAUGAAGGAAAGGCUCGUGAUUAGUAUGCAAAUACGAAAGGCACAAGAUUACUACGAAGUAGGAUGACUGUCUGCCAAAGGCAAAAAUAACUCAGUUUUAUGCUUUUCUAAACUAAAGCAGAAACGACCGUACAAUUGCAGGAGAAAAAUUGAUGUAUGCUUUUUCUAACCUCAGCAGUAACGAACAGACAAUUGCGGCAAACAGGCUUGGGCAUCACAAUCGAGAACAUCUAUCACCAGCAUACCGCACCGAUUGCGACACCUCAUGUUGUCAAUCUACACUCUGAAAUAUGUCUACAUACAUCCGUAUGUCAUAGUUCAUUUGAAAUGUCAAGAAAGACAAAUAUUUGGAAACGGAUGGAGUAAUAGAUAACUUAUGUGCCCCAUAAAAGGAUACCAAACGCCGUGUGAGAGAUAAGAAUUCAGGGUGACAUCUGUCUAUACAAUUAGUUUUCAAGGCAAACUUUUGCACCAAGAUUGUGACAUAGUCACAUUCCAUCGAAUGAACAUGUGAUGCUGACCGAAGACUUGAUCAACUGUUUAAAUAUGCCUAUGAUAAAAAAUAGUUUAUUCAAAGCACAUUUAUCUAAGAAUGUAGUACGAUUUGUUUAAAGUCAAAAAUGAGAGAUUUGGUUACAUCCUAAAUUAUCAUAUAUAUUGAGGAAUAAAUUUCAUCAACUCAUGAUCUAAAAUGAAAGGACUUCUUAUUAGUGGCAUAAAGUCGUGAGAAAGCCAUGUUAUAUGCACUCUAUUAUGUGUUGGAGCACAUGUGUGCUCGUUAUCCCUCCCAUCAAGUUGCCCCGGGAUUUACAGCCCAACACGCAUAGGCCACUAAUAAUCUAUGUAUGCUUCUUUUGAACAGUGAAUAUGGCCCACAUCUGAAGUCCAUGAAACAUGACUAUGUGAGGCACUUUCACACCGGAUCGAAUGUCAGACCACCAUAUGGGUCGUCCAAGACGAGAUUCUGGACUAACAGAGUCAUUUUCGAGUCGAUUUAUUAUGUCUGACUCAUGCAUGUGGCUUCCCUUCCCCUACACAACUAAAGCUCGUCCCUCACUGGCUAAAGCGAACUCCACCUAGAUCCACCAUUCCCCCGCAGUCAAUUCUUCCUCAUCAGCCAUUCCCGAAGACAUCUUGCCGCUCAUUCCUGGCUUCGAUUGCGGAGAGCAGAUCAUAACAUAGAUUGCCCAUAGUGUGGCAAAUGUCGGCAAUCUGCCCCCGGUCACCUGCAACCACAAGAGUCCCUUUAGUAUGAAUCAGAUUCACACCAUAACCAUUUGCAACAAUCUAGUCCUCUAAUACAAGCCCAUCAUAAUUCUCAAUAGUCAUUAAAAUAUGGAAUCAAAACAGCUAACAAUCUAUCAUGUAUCCAAAAUUGACACCUAUGCUUAUCAUACAUGCCGGAGAAAAAUAGCUACAAUGUUGCUGUCAAGAUAACAUUUUGGAAGCAUUUUCUCUCAAAUAAGUAUUAAUAGAUCAGACACUGACAAAAUGAUUAUGGUAGUGUAAACCAAACGAAAUGACAUGGCCCACACACCAAUCUAUUCAGGAGUGUUACAUUAAUCCAACAAUUUGUUCAGCGCAUGGUAGCUAUAUAAAUAAUCCAGAUAUCAUUCGUGUUGACAGAAAUUAGCAAUGCUCCCAAGUACAUACAAAAUUGUCGAGAGAGAAUUUCCUAGCAUGCUGAGUUUCCAAAGACUGGACUUCUUAAUAAUGACACACCUUCGUGUCCAUGCAGGAGCUUUAGGGUCGAUCAGGCCAUAGAUUUCUUCGAUGUUGGCGACGAAUCUUCCGUUCAAGCUUCCGUUGCCCCUCCACCACACAUAUUUGCGCGUCUCCACUCACUCCCCUCAUAGGCGGCCGCUGCUCGACAUGUUGAGCCACUCAUGGCUGUCUCCACUCACUCCCCUCAUAGGAAUAGUGAACCGUAAAAAUAUUUUCAGAGUAUUAGGCUUGUAUCAUGAAUUAUGUUCGCUUCUAUCAAUGCUUCAAGACGCAAAGCUUUUUGUGUUUGCUAAGAAAACUAAGCAAAUAUGAAGGUAAAAGGAAAUCAUCAAUAUAAUUCCGCAAAAACUACUACAUGGAACGGACAUGAAAUGUUGCGGAAAUUGCUGAAUCUUGCUUUUCUGGAACAACGAUAUAGAGUGUUCACUACUGACUUGCACAUACUUUGCAAUCAGAAAAAAGCUUCAUCAAUUAUGUAGACGCGGUGAAAGGGAAUACAACAUACAAAAUCUAGAUACAGAAUUCAAGAUAAUAAAGCUAGAUGGAGCUAACACGACACAAUAUGCUUCAUCGUUUAGCGGGUACUCCCAUGCAUAUACUAAAUCAUAUAGACAUACACUUCAACCAUCAGAACUAUGCCAGAACUGGAACUGGUUUGUUCUUACAUGUCAUUUCCAGUGAGAAAAGGGGGAUGCUAUACAUUCCAAGUCGCAAAAAUUGUCUUAAAAUUAUAAGAAGCAAACUAAAAAUUAUAAAUAAUCAGAAGAAGUGCUCCCGCUGAGCGAAAACACAUUGCAUCUGAACAAUGCAAAGCAACUGCAGCACAUAAGCUAGCACCUUAUUCAUGCUUUAAAGGUGUACAGUUUGACCACCUACUUGUAGCUACUAUACACAUUCACAAGACAUUAGGCCUUUCAUGUAAUAUUUUUCUAGGCAAGAAAACAUUGCUAUAUGACGUAACUCGUAGUAGUAGGUAAAUUCACAAACUGUGUAUGUUGUAUCAAUGACUCUGCUGUAAUCAAACUUUGAAGCUACAAUCAGAUAAAGGAAUAAUAUGAACUUCAGUUAACUGAUGUAAAAUAACAAAAAGAGGCAUGUCUAAAGAACACAAUGGAAGAAUAGAAAAAUGCAUGUAGAAGAUUACACAUGAUCUAAUCAUAUACCUUGCCACCCAAAAUUUUGCCUUUGUCGUAUCAAUGAGUUUGCUGUAAAUGAGGAAGUAGUAAUUUUUGCACGUACUCUAGGUGUUUUGUCAUCGGUUGAACGACAAGCUUCUUCAUUUUUGGAAACUACACGAACAAGACAAAACAUUUGUUCACAGUAAGUUAGUAACCCUAAAGGAUCUACUUACUCGGAGAAAUUCAUAAGAACAAACUGCAUAUACAGUAAAACACAACGAGCUCUGAAUCAAAGUAUAACUAUUUGAAAAUCUUUGGAGAAGAUCAAACAAUACAUCAUUGCAUCACUACUCGGGGUCACUAACGGAGGCGCCAAUUCCUUCGAGCUGGGGAAAGGGGAAUUGAAGGUGCUCGGCAGAACUGGAAGGGGGAGAAAUGAAAACCUCAAACACUACCAUUUGAAGAGCAGAGGAUAUAUAUUUAGGCACUCACAGAAAUAAUCAUCGGAGGUCCUGUACAGAUACAAGUAGGUGGUGGCAUCGCCGUCUUAGCUCGGUUGUCCAAGCAACACAGAAUGUCCUGAUCACCACACAGUUGAAAUUGAAAGUGUUUGCAACUCUGCAAAUUAUAUACAUAUCCAACGAUUUAGUUGGGAGUUUAUUCUGCACCAUUUGUGAAAACACACACUCACAAG